AGACUGGGAUAACUCCGGGAAACCGGGGCUAAUACCGGAUGGUUGUUUGAACCGCAUGGUUCAAACAUAAAAGGUGGCUUCGGCUACCACUUACAGAUGGACCCGCGGCGCAUUAGCUAGUUGGUGAGGUAACGGCUCACCAAGGCAACGAUGCGUAGCCGACCUGAGAGGGUGAUCGGCCACACUGGGACUGAGACACGGCCCAGAGCAGUAGGGAAUCUUCCGCAAUGGACGAAAGUCUGACGGAGCAACGCCGCGUGAGUGAUGAAGGUUUUCGGAUCGUAAAGCUCUGUUGUUAGGGAAGAACAAGUACCGUUCGAAUAGGGCGGUACCUUGACGGUACCUAACCAGAAAGCCACGGCUAACUACGUGCCAGCAGCCGCGGUAAUACGUAGGUGGCAAGCGUUGUCCGGAAUUAUUGGGCGUAAAGGGCUCGCAGGCGGUUUCUUAAGUCUGAUGUGAAAGCCCCCGGCUCAACCGGGGAGGGUCAUUGGAAACUGGGGAACUUGAGUGCAGAAGAGGAGAGUGGAAUUCCACGUGUAGCGGUGAAAUGCGUAGAGAUGUGGAGGAACACCAGUGGCGAAGGCGACUCUCUGGUCUGUAACUGACGCUGAGGAGCGAAAGCGUGGGGAGCGAACAGGAUUAGAUACCCUGGUAGUCCACGCCGUAAACGAUGAGUGCUAAGUGUUAGGGGGUUUCCGCCCCUUAGUGCUGCAGCUAACGCAUUAAGCACUCCGCCUGGGGAGUACGGUCGCAAGACUGAAACUCAAAGGAAUUGACGGGGGCCCGCACAAGCGGUGGAGCAUGUGGUUUAAUUCGAAGCAACGCGAAGAACCUUACCAGGUCUUGACAUCCUCUGACAAUCCUAGAGAUAGGACGUCCCCUUCGGGGGCAGAGUGACAGGUGGUGCAUGGUUGUCGUCAGCUCGUGUCGUGAGAUGUUGGGUUAAGUCCCGCAACGAGCGCAACCCUUGAUCUUAGUUGCCAGCAUUCAGUUGGGCACUCU
RNAcentral lists this ribosomal RNA (1005 nucleotides) under Bacillus subtilis. Its description in RNAcentral is "bacterial SSU rRNA". It matches the Rfam family "Bacterial small subunit ribosomal RNA", at positions 135 to 1141 of the family's 1533-position model. The record is from RNAcentral. Lineage: Bacteria; Bacillati; Bacillota; Bacilli; Caryophanales; Bacillaceae.